Homo sapiens (human) is the source of this 857-nucleotide long non-coding RNA. Ensembl annotates it as testis expressed 14B, pseudogene. Its record names the gene TEX14BP. NCBI's taxonomy places the organism in Eukaryota, Metazoa, Chordata, Mammalia, Primates, Hominidae. The record is from Ensembl.
GCAGGCGCUGCGGGAGGCCACUGGUGCUCAAGCACCUCGGAUUCCCGCUCAUACAGCCGGCCGGAUCAUGUGGCAGUCAGGUGGCGACCACUAUCUAGCCCAACGUUGCUGGAGUUGUUGCAGCUCUGCCGGGCCCACAUAUCAGCGUUCGUGCAUGACGGUGAGUUGCCACCCAUGGCAUCUCUGGACCAGUUGCAGGCCAGAUUUGGGAACAGCCCGCCUGGCUCCCUGUCCUCCCUGAGGCUGAUGCAGGCAGACAGCCUCCUGUGGAUGGGUCACAAAAUGACUGUGCAGCAGCCGAAGGCCCCUGGAACCCAGACAGAUGUGCUACUGGCUGACCUUCAGCACUGCAGGCAGCAGAAGGGCUACCCCUGGGGAGGCCCAGGCCCAGGGCUUCCCCCGCCCCCUGAACUACACCCAUGGCUGCCACUUCAGCUGAUCUGCGGUGACAUGCCCACCACCACCUCAGACCUCUACAGCUUCUGCAUCCUGAUCCAGGAGGUCUUCACUGGCACCCGGUACUGAGCUGACUAGAGGAGGUCUCUUCUCCAGCCUGCAGAAGUGAGACCCGAGGCCUUGGAUGGGAGGACCCCAGGUAACCCUAGGUCUUUAUCCCUGAGGUAACCCUAGGUCUACCUGUGCCUCACUGCUCCCCAGGAUGGACCUGCUGGAGGAGAUCAUAGCAGAGCUACAAAAAGGAUGUCAGCUUGGAGAAAAGCCCAGCCUGAGCCCCACUCCUGACCUAGACUCCCAGGGUGCCCAUGGUUCCCCUCUCUGCAGAUACCACCUCUCAGAGGCUCCCAGGAGUAACUCCUGCCUUGGUGCCUCCCCAAAAGGAAAUAGAAUGAUAAAGUGCC